RNAcentral lists this transfer RNA (85 nucleotides) under Felis catus (domestic cat). It matches the Rfam family "tRNA". Rfam says of the family: Transfer RNA (tRNA) molecules are approximately 80 nucleotides in length. Their secondary structure includes four short double-helical elements and three loops (D, anti-codon, and T loops). Lineage: Eukaryota; Metazoa; Chordata; Mammalia; Carnivora; Felidae. The record is from Rfam by way of RNAcentral.
GCCUGGGUGGCUCAGUCAGUUAAGCGUCUGACUUUGGCUCAGGUCAUGGUCUCAUGGUUCAUGGGUUCGAGCCCCAUGUUGGGCU